UACGGGAGGCAGCAGGGGGAAUAUUGCACAAUGGGCGCAAGCCUGAUGCAGCCAUGCCGCGUGUAUGAAGAAGGCCUUCGGGUUGUAAAGUACUUUCAGUCGUGAGGAAGGUGUUAAGGUUAAUAACCUUAGCAAUUGACGUUAGCGACAGAAGAAGCACCGGCUAACUCCGUGCCAGCAGCCGCGGUAAUACGGAGGGUGCGAGCGUUAAUCGGAAUUACUGGGCGUAAAGGGCACGCAGGCGGUUAAUUAAGUUGGAUGUGAAAUCCCCGGGCUUAACCUGGGAAUGGCAUUCAAGACUGGUUAGCUAGAGUCUUGUAGAGGGGGUAGAAUUCCGAUGUGUAGCGGUGAAAUGCGUAGAGAUGUGGAGGAAUACCGGUGGCGAAGGCGGCCCCUGGACAAAGACUGACGCUCAUGUGCGAAAGCGUGGGGAGCAAAC
Molecule: ribosomal RNA, 439 nt
Filed under: uncultured bacterium
Lineage: Bacteria
Description: bacterial SSU rRNA
Rfam family: Bacterial small subunit ribosomal RNA
Source: RNAcentral